This 1417-nucleotide long non-coding RNA is filed under the name Dromaius novaehollandiae (emu). Its description in RNAcentral is "lncRNA (ENSDNVG00000001932.1)". Lineage: Eukaryota; Metazoa; Chordata; Aves; Casuariiformes; Dromaiidae. The record is from RNAcentral.
UUCUUGGCUCAGAAUUCUUUGGGGGAAGUACAGAGGGAAGCUGGAACCAGCUGGUUAGUGCCAUGGGUGGGCAAAGGGCCUCUUCAGGUCUUCGGGUGUCUUGCUGAGCUGGCCUGCUGCAAGGGGCAGGAGCCAUCCUCCACCUGUGGCCUCUCAGGACACCUGAGUGAACUCAGCACCUGUGAGCUCCUGGGAAGAGAGAGGGUUCUGCUCUGGGGCUUGCAGCCUAUGGAGAGGCUUUUGUGCAGUAGGCUAGAAAAUGGGCAGAAAGUAUUUUAACAAAUCUGUUUUCUAAAUGAAUAAUGCAGUUGGUGCAAUAACUUUUUAAUCUCAUUGUGUAAUACCUGUCUCUUACUUUAAGCUGCAGAUAUUCGUACUUCUUGUGCUUAACCGUACUGUCAAGAGGGUUAGAUGAAGCCAGGAGAUGGAAAUUUUGAAUCCUUUGUGUCUGUGAAGUUGUACAAGAUGCUUUCAGAUUGCAGGCUGGAAACAAUGUACCUGCAAGUUUCUGUUGAAACAACCAGAUGUCUGAUAUCAUCUGGCUGCCCCCGUUGUCUGUUCUGGUCACCACUUCCCUGGAUGUCUUGGAGACAGAACAGUGCCAGUCACCUGUUGCUGGCUCCACAGCUUCUGCUUACCCUGGUACCUGUGUUUGCAUGGACUUAGGCAUGACUGCUCUCUUGACCCUAUGCUUUUCAUACUGGAAUCCUACAUGCCCCAACUUGUAUCUUCAGCAAUAGCAAGUACUUGCCUGAUGUCUUAGGAUCUGUGACUGCACACACAGGCAUUUGACCUGAGACAUUUCAAGGUAGUUGUACUGCUUUGGAGAACUGGAUUUUGGCACAGUCAGUUUCUCUGCUAAGCUUUCUGUUUGCCUGGAUCCUAGAACUACUGAGAGAGUGUCUCCAGAAAUCUGGAGUGAAGCAUUUGGGGAAAUGAUGCUUUAUUUGGAUAAGAUUUCUUCUCACUUCCAUAACGUUGUGGCCGAGUUGGUCAGUUGAACUACACAGUGACUCCUUGUUCCCACAGUGGACUUCCUAGGUUUUGUAUGAUUUUGCUGUUCUGUUACCAUCUUGUGUCUGAGUGACCUGGCACAUGAGAGCAAAAAAAGCUUGAACGUGUGAUUAUGGGAACUAUAAAAGAAAACCACUUAUGGGAAACAGCAAAGUCCACCAGAACCUCAGCCUGUUUUGGCAUUGGCCUUGUAGUACAGAAUCUGAGAUUUUAGAAUCUUGCUGUUAAACUCUCCUUGUUUGGUCUUUUUAUUGAAUGCGUGAGAAACCCUAAUCUCAUGCUCUCAAGAGCAUGAAACUUGAUUGUAGGAGGGAGGUGUUACUGCAUGGACUUGUUCAUUUUUAGAUUUUAACUUACUAUAACUUUUUUUGCAAUAAAACAAAACAGCUGUAGCUGAAGCUCA